GUAAGGGGCGAGCGUUGUUCGGAUUUACUGGGCGUAAAGGGUGUCUAGGCGGCACGUCAAGUCGGGAGUGAAAUCCCACGGCUUACCCGUGGAAUUGCUUUCGAAACUGGCGAGCUUGAGUACGGGAGAGGAGAGCGGAAUUCCCGGUGUAGCGGUGGAAUGCGUAGAUAUCGGGAAGAACACUCGUGGCGAAGGCGGCUCUCUGGACCGCUACUGACGCUGAAGCACGAAAGCCAGGGGAGCGAACGGGAUUAGAUACCCCGGGUAGUCCUGGCCGUAAACGAUGUGCACUUGGUGUAGGAGGUAUCGACCCCCCUUCUGUGCCGAAGCUAACGCAUUAAGUGCACCGCCUGGGGAGUACGGCCGCAAGGCUG
This 374-nucleotide ribosomal RNA is filed under the name uncultured organism. Its description in RNAcentral is "partial 16S ribosomal RNA". It matches the Rfam family "Bacterial small subunit ribosomal RNA", at positions 527 to 896 of the family's 1533-position model. The record is from RNAcentral.